This 73-nucleotide transfer RNA is filed under the name Candidatus Chloroheliaceae bacterium. Its description in RNAcentral is "tRNA-His". It matches the Rfam family "tRNA". Rfam says of the family: Transfer RNA (tRNA) molecules are approximately 80 nucleotides in length. Their secondary structure includes four short double-helical elements and three loops (D, anti-codon, and T loops). Further hydrogen bonds mediate the characteristic L-shaped molecular structure. tRNAs have two regions of fundamental functional importance: the anti-codon, which is responsible for specific mRNA codon recognition, and the 3' end, to which the tRNAs corresponding amino acid is attached (by aminoacyl-tRNA synthetases). tRNAs cope with the degeneracy of the genetic code in two manners: having more than one tRNA (with a specific anti-codon) for a particular amino acid; and 'wobble' base-pairing, i.e. permitting non-standard base-pairing at the 3rd anti-codon position. The record is from RNAcentral. Lineage: Bacteria; Bacillati; Chloroflexota; Chloroflexia; Candidatus Chloroheliales; Candidatus Chloroheliaceae.
GGUGGUUGUAGUAGAUAGGUAUUACACCUGAUUGUGGAUCAGGGGCAUUGGGUUCGAAUCCCAACUACCACCU